UACGUAGGGGGCAAGCGUUGUCCGGAUUUAUUGGGCGUAAAGAGCGUGUAGGCGGCCAGACAGGUCAGCUGUGAAAACUCGAGGCUCAACCUCGAGACGUCGGUUGAAACCGUCUGGCUAGAGUCCGGAAGAGGAGAGUCGAAUUCCCGGUGUAGCGGUGAAAUGCGCAGAUAUCGGGAAGAACACCCGUGGCGAAGGCGGCUCUCUGGGACGGUACUGACGCUGAGACGCGAAAGCGUGGGGAGCGAACAGG
RNAcentral lists this ribosomal RNA (253 nucleotides) under uncultured bacterium. Its description in RNAcentral is "partial 16S ribosomal RNA". It matches the Rfam family "Bacterial small subunit ribosomal RNA", at positions 524 to 776 of the family's 1533-position model. The record is from RNAcentral.